Molecule: ribosomal RNA, 412 nt
Filed under: Polyascus gregaria
Lineage: Eukaryota; Metazoa; Arthropoda; Thecostraca; Sacculinidae
Description: partial large subunit ribosomal RNA
Source: RNAcentral
UGAUUUUUAAAGAGCCGCAAUAUAUUGAUUGUGCUAAGGUAGCAAAAUAAUUAGUUUAUUAAUUGUAAACUAGUAUGAAUGGUUGUACGUAUUCUAGUCUUUUUUAAUUUUUUUGUUAAAAUUUAUUUUUAAAGUGCAAAAACUUUAAUGUUAUUGAAAGAGGAUAAGACCCCAAGAAUUUUUUUUUUAUUUGAAUGUAUUUAAAUUUUAUUAUUUGUUUAUUUAAAUUAAAAUUAGUUGGGGUGACUUUUAAGUAAAAUAAAUCUUAAAUUAAAAAUACUAUGAUAGGUUUUAUUUGAUUAAUUUUUUUAUUUUAGAUAAAUUACCUUGGGGAUAACAGCGUUAUAAAUAUUAAUAGUAUAAAUUUAAAUAUUUGAUUGCGACCUCGAUGUUGGAUUAAGUUUUUUUUUUG